RNAcentral lists this ribosomal RNA (432 nucleotides) under uncultured bacterium. Its description in RNAcentral is "partial 16S ribosomal RNA". It matches the Rfam family "Bacterial small subunit ribosomal RNA", at positions 29 to 506 of the family's 1533-position model. The record is from RNAcentral.
AACGAACGCUGGCGGCAUGCCUAACACAUGUCAGUCGAACGAGACCUUCGGGUCUAGUGGCGCACGGGUGCGUAACGCGUGGGAACCUGCCCUUAGGUUCGGAAUAACUCCCCGAAAGGGGUGCUAAUACCGGAUAAUGUCUUCGGACCAAAGAUUUAUCGCCUUUGGAUGGGCCCGCGUUGGAUUAGCUAGUUGGUAGGGUAAAAGCCUACCAAGGCGACGAUCCAUAGCUGGUCUGAGAGGAUGAUCAGCCACACUGGGACUGAGACACGGCCCAGACUCCUACGGGAGGCAGCAGUGGGGAAUAUUGGACAAUGGGCGAAAGCCUGAUCCAGCAAUGCCGCGUGAGUGAUGAAGGCCUUAGGGUUGUAAAGCUCUUUUACCCGGGAUGAUAAUGACAGUACCGGGAGAAUAAGCUCCGGCUAACUCCGU